RNAcentral lists this non-coding RNA (877 nucleotides) under Pan troglodytes (chimpanzee). Lineage: Eukaryota; Metazoa; Chordata; Mammalia; Primates; Hominidae. The record is from RNAcentral.
GGAGGAGGGGAACACCCAGCCCCAGAAACAGGGUCUCACUUUGUCACCCAGGUUGGAAUGCAGCAGUACAAGCAUGGCUCACUGCAGCCUCAACCUCUCAGGCUCACGCAAUCCAAGCUAUCCUCCCACCUCAGCCUCUUGAGUAGCUGGGACUACAAGUGCCUGCCACAUCUAAUUUUUUGUAUUUUUUGUAGAGAUGGGGUUUUGCCAUGUUGCCCAGGCUGGUCUCGAACUUCUGAGCGCAAGUGAUUCAUCUGCCUUAGCCUCCCAAAGUGCUGGGAUUACAGGCGUGAGCUACUUUUUUUUUUUAAACAGAUAAUCAACAGGGCCAAAGCAAUUAAGUCAUUUUCCCAGUCACUUGGCCAAUAAGCAGCAAGUCAAUGACCAGAACAAAUUAUACAACUUUCAUCUUCCCAUAACUGAUCUAAGCCUACAAAAAAAACGGAUGAGACUAGACAGAAGAAACAGUGUCAUCUUCAUCCCCUGGUCAUCUACUCAAGAACUACGCAAAAGCCAUAUGUAACAGAAAUCUAGGACCACAGGCUACAGUGCCAUGGCACAAACAUGGCUCAAUGCAGCCUCAACAGCUUGGGCUCAAGCAAUUCUCCCACCUCAGCCUCCAGAGUAGCUGGGGCUACAGGCAUAUGCCCCACUGUGCCUGGCUAAUUUUUUUUUUUAAACAGGGUCUUGCCAUGUUACUCAGACUGGUCUCAAACUCCUAGGCUCAAGCAAUCCUCCCACCUUGGCCUCCCAAGGUGCUGGGGUUACAUGCAUGAGCCACCAUGCCCGGCCAUAUAUCCUACUAUUCUUAAGAUUCAGUUCAAGUUCCAUCCGUGUGUGAUGUCUCCUUGACCACUCACUGCACAAUUCUCUCCCU